GGGAACGUNNCNGCNGUCGACGAUUCUACGGGAGGCAGCAGUAGGGAAUAUUGGUCAAUGGGCGGAAGCCUGAACCAGCCAUGCCGCGUGCAGGAUGACGGCCUUCUGGGUUGUAAACUGCUUUUAUACAGGAAGAAAAGGGUCAUGCGUGACACAUUGACGGUACUGUAUGAAUAAGCACCGGCUAACUCCGUGCCAGCAGCCGCGGUAAUACGGAGGGUGCAAGCGUUGUCCGGAUUUAUUGGGUUUAAAGGGUGCGUAGGCGGGUUAUUAAGUCAGUGGUGAAAGUUUACGGCUCAACCGUAAAAGUGCCAUUGAUACUGGUAGCCUUGAGUACAGUAGAGGUAGGCGGAAUUUAUGGUGUAGCGGUGAAAUGCAUAGAUACCAUAAAGAACACCGAUAGCGUAGGCAGCUUACUAUUCUGUAACUGACGCUGAGGCACGAAAGCGUGGGGAGCGAACAGGAUUAGAUACCCUGGUAGUCCACGCUGUAAACGAUGAAGACUCGCUGUUGGCGAUACACAGUCAGUGGCCAAGCGAAAGCGUUAAGUCUUCCACCUGGGGAGUACGAUCGCAAGAUUGAAACUCAAAUGAAUUGACGG
Molecule: ribosomal RNA, 601 nt
Filed under: uncultured Sphingobacterium sp.
Lineage: Bacteria; Pseudomonadati; Bacteroidota; Sphingobacteriia; Sphingobacteriales; Sphingobacteriaceae
Description: bacterial SSU rRNA
Rfam family: Bacterial small subunit ribosomal RNA
Source: RNAcentral